RNAcentral lists this ribosomal RNA (579 nucleotides) under Gammaproteobacteria bacterium. Its description in RNAcentral is "bacterial SSU rRNA". It matches the Rfam family "Bacterial small subunit ribosomal RNA", at positions 162 to 737 of the family's 1533-position model. The record is from RNAcentral. Lineage: Bacteria; Pseudomonadati; Pseudomonadota; Gammaproteobacteria.
GCUAAUACCGCAUAUGUCUUACGGGACAAAGCAGGGGACCUUCGGGCCUUGCGUUAUUGGAUGAGCCUAUGUUGGAUUAGUUAGUUGGUAGAGUAAAAGCCUACCAAGGCGACGAUCCAUAGCUGGUCUGAGAGGAUGAUCAGCCACACUGGGACUGAGACACGGCCCAGACUCCUACGGGAGGCAGCAGUGGGGAAUAUUGCACAAUGGGCGCAAGCCUGAUGCAGCAAUGCCGCGUGUGUGAAGAAGGCCUGCGGGUUGUAAAGCACUUUUAUUAGGAAAGAAAAACCCGGAGUUAAUACCUCCGGCAUUGACGGUACCUAAAGAAUAAGCACCGGCUAACUCAGUGCCAGCAGCCGCGGUAAUACUGAGGGUGCAAGCGUUAAUCGGAAUUACUGGGCGUAAAGCGAGUGUAGGCGGCUACUUAAGUCGGAUGUGAAAUCCCCGGGCUCAACCUGGGAAUUGCAUUCGAUACUGGGUAGCUAGAGUUUGGUAGAGGUAAGUGGAAUUCCGGGUGUAGCGGUGAAAUGCGUAGAUAUCCGGAGGAACAUCAGUGGCGAAGGCGGCUUACUGGACCAA